CCGAGUUUACAACUCCCAAACCCCCUGUGAACAUACCUAUAUGUUGCCUCGGCGGAUUAAACCCGCGCCCCGUAAAAACGGGAACGGCCCGCCGCAGGAUCCACAAACUCUGUUUUUAUUGUAACUUCUGAGUAACAAAAACAAAUAAAUCAA
Molecule: unclassified non-coding RNA, 153 nt
Filed under: soil metagenome
Description: partial internal transcribed spacer 1
Source: RNAcentral